AACGCGAAGAACCUUACCUGGAUUUGACAUCCUCUGAAUACAGUAGAGAUAUUGUCGGCUCGCAAGAGACAGAGAGACAGGUGCUGCAUGGCUGUCGUCAGCUCGUGUUGUGAAAUGUUGGGUUAAGUCCCGCAACGAGCGCAACCCCUGUGCUUGGUUGCCAUCAUUAAGUUGGGCACUCCAAGCAGACUGCCGUCGUCAAGACGGAGGAAGGUGGGGAUGACGUCAAGUCCUCAUGGCCUUUAUAUCCAGGGCGACACACGUGAUACAAUGGUAGGCACAAAGGGCAGCGAAGUGGUGACACGGAGCCAAUCUCAAAAAAGCCUAUCUCAGUUCGGAUUGGAGUCUGCAACUCGACUCCAUGAAGUUGGAAUCGCUAGUAAUCGCGGAUCAGAACGCCGCGGUGAAUACGUUCCCGGGCCUUGUACACACCGACGUAUA
This 441-nucleotide ribosomal RNA is filed under the name uncultured bacterium. RNAcentral describes it as "bacterial SSU rRNA". It matches the Rfam family "Bacterial small subunit ribosomal RNA", at positions 958 to 1399 of the family's 1533-position model. The record is from RNAcentral.